RNAcentral lists this long non-coding RNA (629 nucleotides) under Vigna radiata. RNAcentral describes it as "long non-coding RNA (VRAD_LNC001186)". Lineage: Eukaryota; Viridiplantae; Streptophyta; Magnoliopsida; Fabales; Fabaceae. The record is from RNAcentral.
CACCGGAGAGAAGAAGGUUGUGGCGGAUAAGCAGGGUCCGGCACGGUUGCGGCGGAGAAGCAAGGUCCGACGCGGAGAUGGAAGGAGAAGCAGAGACUGGACAGAGAAGCAGAGACUGGACGGAGAAGCAGAGCGCCUGGAAGGAAAUCGCACAGGGAAGAAAAACUGUUUCAGAAAUCGCGUGGGGAAGACGAACUGUGUGGUGAAUUUUGGUUUUUUAACCCUCAAAAGAGAAUCUGCCGCGGUUCUCCACUUAACCGCGGCAUAAAGGGGGAAUAGGCCGCGGUUCUACACACAACCGCGGCCUAUUCAUUUUAAAAAAAUAAUACAGAAUGACAAUUUUGAAAUUUUAUUUAACUUAUAUGCCGCGGUUGGGCGCUGAACCGCGGCAUAUACCCUGAAAAUUUUAAAAUUUACUGAGACCAGGGAAUAGGCCGCGGUUCUCUGGCAACCCCUACAAUAAAUUGACAGGGGAAUACGUCGCGGUUCUCUGACCAACCGCGGCGUAUUCCUCUGUCAUUAAACUUUUUCCCCUGACGUGGAGUCAAAUGGGUAGGUGGACAUGGGUAUAUGCCGCGGUUAAGUGGGGAACCGCAGCAUAUAAUGUCAAUUUAUUUACAAAACUGCCA